RNAcentral lists this ribosomal RNA (392 nucleotides) under uncultured bacterium. RNAcentral's name for it is "bacterial SSU rRNA". It matches the Rfam family "Bacterial small subunit ribosomal RNA", at positions 28 to 424 of the family's 1533-position model. The record is from RNAcentral.
GACGAACGCUGGCGGCGUGCUUAACACAUGCAAGUCGAGCGGUAAGGCCCUUUCGGGGGUACACGAGCGGCGAACGGGUGAGUAACACGUGGGUGACCUGCCCUCAACUCUGGGAUAAGCCUGGGAAACCGGGUCUAAUACUGGAUAUGACUCCAUGACGCAUGUUGUGGGGUGGAAAGCCUUGUGCGGCUGAGGAUGGGCCCGCGGCCUAUCAGCUUGUUGGUGGGGUGANGGCCUACCAAGGCGACGACGGGUAGCCGGCCUGAGAGGGCGACCGGCCACACUGGGACUGAGACACGGCCCAGACUCCUACGGGAGGCAGCAGUGGGGAAUCUUGCGCAAUGGGCGAAAGCCUGACGCAGCGACGCCGCGUGAGGGAUGACGGCCUGGUU